AAUUGCUAGUAAUGGCAGGUCAGCAUACUGCCGUGAAUACGUUCCCGGGCCUUGUACACACCGCCCGUCACACCAUGAGAGUUGGGAAUACCCGAAGCCUGUGAGCUAACUGUAAGGAGGCAGCAGUCGAAGGUAGAAUCAAUGAUUGGGGUGAAGUCGUAACAAGGUAGC
This 171-nucleotide ribosomal RNA is filed under the name uncultured bacterium. Its description in RNAcentral is "partial 16S ribosomal RNA". It matches the Rfam family "Bacterial small subunit ribosomal RNA", at positions 1330 to 1500 of the family's 1533-position model. The record is from RNAcentral.